CACCGACAAGAGCAAACUACUCGAAAGCGUAGGGCGCAAAGUCACCGACCUGAAGACGGUAGCGGGACUGCCGAA
Molecule: non-coding RNA, 75 nt
Filed under: Candidatus Latescibacterota bacterium
Lineage: Bacteria; Pseudomonadati; Candidatus Latescibacterota
Description: Latescibacteria bacterium c-di-GMP sequence
Rfam family: c-di-GMP-I riboswitch aptamer
About the family: GEMM was predicted in a large-scale screen for bacterial structured RNA regulatory elements. Genes associated with GEMM are involved in a diverse array of functions, including chemotaxis regulation, signal transduction, secretion and chitin.
Source: RNAcentral